ACUUAAAUUGAAGAGUUUGAUCAUGGCUCAGAUUGAACGCUGGCGGCAGGCCUAACACAUGCAAGUCGAGCGGUAGCACAGAGAGCUUGCUCUCGGGUGACGAGCGGCGGACGGGUGAGUAAUGUCUGGGAAACUGCCUGAUGGAGGGGGAUAACUACUGGAAACGGUAGCUAAUACCGCAUAAUGUCGCAAGACCAAAGUGGGGGACCUUCGGGCCUCAUGCCAUCAGAUGUGCCCAGAUGGGAUUAGCUUGUAGGUGGGGUAACGGCUCACCUAGGCGACGAUCCCUAGCUGGUCUGAGAGGAUGACCAGCCACACUGGAACUGAGACACGGUCCAGACUCCUACGGGAGGCAGCAGUGGGGAAUAUUGCACAAUGGGCGCAAGCCUGAUGCAGCCAUGCCGCGUGUGUGAAGAAGGCCUUCGGGUUGUAAAGCACUUUCAGCGGGGAGGAAGGCG
This 458-nucleotide ribosomal RNA is filed under the name Klebsiella pneumoniae. Its description in RNAcentral is "bacterial SSU rRNA". It matches the Rfam family "Bacterial small subunit ribosomal RNA", at positions 1 to 453 of the family's 1533-position model. The record is from RNAcentral. Lineage: Bacteria; Pseudomonadati; Pseudomonadota; Gammaproteobacteria; Enterobacterales; Enterobacteriaceae.